Molecule: long non-coding RNA, 1331 nt
Filed under: Homo sapiens (human)
Lineage: Eukaryota; Metazoa; Chordata; Mammalia; Primates; Hominidae
Description: HSALNT0301667
Source: RNAcentral
AAGCUAUUAUCCUGCCUCAGCCUCCCAAGUAGCUGGGAUUACAGGUGCCUUUUGAGCCCUGAGCUAGUGUAAAGAUGUGGCUACUCUGAAGCCACUGUAAUGGAGACAUGUGAAGAAACACCUAGAAACAGAAAGCGAUGACCAACGAGCACCAGCUAUUCCAAGGGCGACUUGUGUGAGACUUCCUUGCUCAACUCAAGACCUGUUAACUCAAAUCUACUGGGAGAAGCUGACUAUAAGAAGAGCAUCUGAUAGAUAUUCCAGCUCAGCUGCAUACAGAGACUUCAUCAGCUCAUGUCAUGCCCAGAGUUAGCCUUUCAGUUCCAAGGCUAUUUUUCCCAUUUCCUUAUUCACUGUGCUCCCUGACUUCAAGUUCAAUGCCAGGAUUGUGGAAUCAGGUCAUUUGAAUAAAACAUAAAAAGUAUUAUUAGGUACAGAGCUAAAUGUAGGUCAUAUUUGAGAACAAAUAAUAUUAUAUUUAAUCAUCUAAAAAAAGCUAAGAGGAAUUCUGUUAUCAAGGAAAUAUUUGUUUUCUUUGACUUAAAUGCUGCUUAUAGUCCUAAUAUUCCAUAGUUUCUUUGAAGCUAAUAUUUUGCUUUUAAUUAUGAAAAUCAGUUAGGAAUAUUGAGGUACACAGAUAAAAAUGGUAUUAGUAUAAACAUGCAAUUUAUAAAAUAGGAAAUCAAUGAUGCUAAUAAGCAUAAGAUAUACUCAAAAUUAUUAGUACUCACAAAAAUAAAAAUUAAAAAACACAGUAAGCUACUAUUUAUAUCUAUUUGGCUAAAAGAAUCAGAAAGCUGGAUAUUGCCUUACGCUAGCAGUGAUGUUGGUAUAUAGAAAUUCUGACACAUUUCUGAAGACAAUAUAGACUAAUAUAGCCAUUGUGAAGAGCAACCUGUAAAGUCAUUUAAAUGUGCAUAUAAUUUAUGAUUAGGGUAAACAUACAACUUUGAGAUUGAAAGAGGAAGCUAUUUAUAUUUACUCUGAGACAAUAAACUUAUUUCAAGCCUGUUCCAAGCAAGGUAACUGUAUAUGUCAACUUAUUUAUGACAGUAAUUUUGUUCUUAGGAACCGUAUUCCAAAGAAUUUUACUCAAAGAUCUAUAGAUGUAGGCAUACAAGAAUCAAUAUGGAAGAGUAGAAAAAUGAAUAUUUUUGUUAAUACUCAAACACUAACUGAAAUAAAACUAACUAAUUAAUUUAUAUUGAUACUCCCAGUUAUGGCAAUACAAUAGUAUAACUUUUUAUUAGUUCUUAUUUGAUUAUCGUGGGAUUUAAUAUUUUAAUAAAUUAAAUGGCUGUUAUUACUAAUUUCUUUUUGGUAAUUUUCUC